CUUACUCUGGAAGCCUGUUUCAUAGGCUAUGUAUGGGGGAUGUGCUCCCUAUCCCUCUGGCUAGGGGAAAGUCCCCGGACCUUGGACAAAGAGUGCCAUAUGCACACGUGAGUGUUAGUCCGCCAGGAGGAGAUCCACCCCCCUUCCUCUGGGGUGAGCGGCAUGUGCAUCAUGCAUCAGCUCUCCUCGUAAUUUAGUAGGGAUGUGUGUGGGCUGCAUGUCUAUGUGGGAAUACAUGAGAUGUAUAUGUAUGUGAAUAUAUGUAUAUGAGUAUAUAUGUAUUUAGAGUGC
This 291-nucleotide long non-coding RNA is filed under the name Meriones unguiculatus (Mongolian gerbil). RNAcentral describes it as "RNase MRP (ENSMUGG00000013438.1)". Lineage: Eukaryota; Metazoa; Chordata; Mammalia; Rodentia; Muridae. The record is from RNAcentral.